GAUGAACGCUGGCGGCGUGCUUAACACAUGCAAGUCGAACGGGAAACUUUUCAUUGAAGCUUCGGCAGAUUUGGUCUGUUUCUAGUGGCGGACGGGUGAGUAACGCGUGGGUAACCUGCCUUAUACAGGGGGAUAACAACCAGAAAUGGUUGCUAAUACCGCAUAAGCGCACAGGACCGCAUGGUCCGGUGUGAAAAACUCCGGUGGUAUAAGAUGGACCCGCGUUGGAUUAGCUAGUUGGCAGGGUAACAGCCUACCAAGGCGACGAUCCAUAGCCGGCCUGAGAGGGUGAACGGCCACAUUGGGACUGAGACACGGCCCAGACUCCUACGGGAGGCAGCAGUGGGGAAUAUUGCACAAUGGGGGAAACCCUGAUGCAGCGACGCCGCGUGAAGGAAGAAGUAUCUCGGUAUGUAAACUUCUAUCAGCAGGGAAGAUAGUGACGGUACCUGACUAAGAAGCCCCGGCUAACUACGUG
RNAcentral lists this ribosomal RNA (478 nucleotides) under uncultured bacterium. RNAcentral's name for it is "bacterial SSU rRNA". It matches the Rfam family "Bacterial small subunit ribosomal RNA", at positions 28 to 507 of the family's 1533-position model. The record is from RNAcentral.